GUGCCAGCAGCCGCGGUAAUUCCAGCUUCAGUAGCAUCUACUAAAGUUGCUGCGGUUAAAAGGCUCGCAGUUGAAUGUCAGUAACAAGUGCAGCGAUGGUGGACGUUGGAGUGUGUUGUUCAUUUAGUGGCUGUUUUGUUGCGUUCGCGUGCAUACGGUCAUUUGUGGCUUCACGUCUUACUCCCGUCCGUAACAAGCCUCCUCACUUGCUUACAAAAACGGAUUUGUGGUGUGUUUGCCGAGUCUCUGUAACGCUUAACGGCGUUAUAUAUUCGGUUUACACUUUGGAUUCAAGGUCACCUUGAGUAAAUCAGAGUGCUCAAAGCAGUCGUAAGGAACGUGUGGGUGGUAACAUUCGCAUGUUCUGUGAUAUGGAUGUCUUCAUUGACAGACAGUCUUGGUUUUGCAUGGUAUGUCGAAAGACGCCGUAUCUUGUUGGUUACGAGUCUUGUGCGGUGGUGUGUAAAUCGAACGUGUUCCCUCUGCUUUUCUCAUUCUUUUUCUUAAUCGAGGGAGAGUGUGUUAGUACGGAUACGGUAGAGAGCCCACUCAAGACCAACAAGUGCGGAAUGAUUAAGAGACCCGGUCGAAGGCAUUGGUAUUGCGAGGCGAGAGGUGAAAUUCUAUGACCCCCGCAAGACCUCCUGAAGCGAAAGCGUCUGCCAAGGAC
RNAcentral lists this ribosomal RNA (670 nucleotides) under Sphaeroma serratum. RNAcentral's name for it is "partial small subunit ribosomal RNA". It matches the Rfam family "Eukaryotic small subunit ribosomal RNA", at positions 564 to 965 of the family's 1831-position model. The record is from RNAcentral. Lineage: Eukaryota; Metazoa; Arthropoda; Malacostraca; Isopoda; Sphaeromatidae.